This 575-nucleotide unclassified non-coding RNA is filed under the name Hevea brasiliensis (rubber tree). Lineage: Eukaryota; Viridiplantae; Streptophyta; Magnoliopsida; Malpighiales; Euphorbiaceae. The record is from RNAcentral.
AAUUCCAACAGGACAAUCCAAUCUGCAGCAGAAAGGGAAAUUUUACCACAAAAUGAUUCUCGAGAGCAUUAAACAUAAAACAAUACAUAAAACUAAUAAUCCAGAAUAGUACUACUACUUUUUCUGGCAAAAAUCUCCAAUCCCCCGUCCCUCCCAGAACCCCAUCCACUCCAAAACCCAAGACAAGUGAAAAAGAAAACAUAUAACCUCGCAGCCAAAAAUGAAUGGAAAAACAAGAUACAAAUCUACAUAAAAAACUAGGGUUUUGUCGCCAUUCUCAAUAACACCACCUCAAAAGCAGAUGCUAUUAUGAAGUGAUGACUUCAAAAACUAUAGAUACCCUGAUAGUUCAAUUAGGAUAAUCAUAUGGAGAAUGUUUCAAGAGUGAACGAAUGAAAAAGGGGAUAUUUAAGGCGUCACAAGUCAGCCACCCCAGGCUAGCUUAUGAGCAUAGGAAUCUGGGCAAAGAUCCUAUAUCCUCUUCUAACCAGUCCCCACUUGCAAGCCAACACACCCAAAAAGAAAAUGGAAAGGAAAAGCAAGAAGAUGAAAGAAUGAUUACCUCCUGUGGGUCA